Labrus bergylta (ballan wrasse) is the source of this 438-nucleotide non-coding RNA. The record is from RefSeq and is a predicted model, not a curated record. NCBI's taxonomy places the organism in Eukaryota, Metazoa, Chordata, Actinopteri, Labriformes, Labridae.
ACAAUAACAGUUACCUAAAAUGAAACUCUAUCUGGAUUUAACACCUUUAAUUCUUCCCUGAUGAACUAUUAAUCUUUAUUUUAGUGCUGAAUUUGAUCCCCCACGGAUUGGCUCAAGGUAACCGUCCCCGUGUGACCACAACAUCCAACUGGCCUGAAACAUUCUUGGGUGAGACGCUCACUCUCAGAUGUGAGAUUGAGGGAGGUGGAGACUCUGAAUGGACGUUUGUAUGGAGAAGAGACAGAACAUACAGCUCAGACAAAUAUACAGCAGACAAUAAAUACAUUAUUAGCCGAGCCACUGAUUCUGACAACGGAGACUAUGAGUGCUCAGGCAGAAGGGGAUCCCCUAAUCCUACCUUCACGCCUUGGAGUGAACCCUUCAAAUUGACUGUAACAAAAAUAAUACCAAAGGCUGAACUGAGAGCUGACAGGACAU